This 480-nucleotide ribosomal RNA is filed under the name Cryptosporidium sp. vole genotype III. Its description in RNAcentral is "SSU rRNA". It matches the Rfam family "Eukaryotic small subunit ribosomal RNA", at positions 514 to 1024 of the family's 1831-position model. The record is from RNAcentral. Lineage: Eukaryota; Apicomplexa; Conoidasida; Eucoccidiorida; Cryptosporidiidae.
AUGAGUUAAGUAUAAACCCCUUUACAAGUAUCAAUUGGAGGGCAAGUCUGGUGCCAGCAGCCGCGGUAAUUCCAGCUCCAAUAGCGUAUAUUAAAGUUGUUGCAGUUAAAAAGCUCGUAGUUGGAUUUCUGUUAAUAAUUUAUAUAUAAUAUUUUAACGAUAUUUAUAUAAUAUUAACAUAAUUCACAUUACUAUUAUUAGUAUGUGAAAUUUUACUUUGAGAAAAUUAGAGUGCUUAAAGCAGGCAUUUGCCUUGAAUACUCCAGCAUGGAAUAAUACAAAAGAUUUUUAUCUUUUUUAUUGGUUCUAAGAUAAAAAUAAUGAUUAAUAGGGACAGUUGGGGGCAUUUGUAUUUAACAGUCAGAGGUGAAAUUCUUAGAUUUGUUAAAGACAAACUAAUGCGAAAGCAUUUGCCAAGGAUGUUUUCAUUAAUCAAGAACGAAAGUUAGGGGAUCGAAGACGAUCAGAUACCGUCGUAGU